This 269-nucleotide ribosomal RNA is filed under the name uncultured prokaryote. Its description in RNAcentral is "partial 16S ribosomal RNA". It matches the Rfam family "Bacterial small subunit ribosomal RNA", at positions 524 to 792 of the family's 1533-position model. The record is from RNAcentral.
UACGUAGGGUGCGAGCGUUGUCCGGAAUUAUUGGGCGUAAAGAGCUUGUAGGCGGUUUGUCGCGUCUGCUGUGAAAAUCCGGGGCUCAACCCCGGACUUGCAGUGGGUACGGGCAGACUAGAGUGUGGUAGGGGAGACUGGAAUUCCUGGUGUAGCGGUGAAAUGCGCAGAUAUCAGGAGGAACACCAAUGGCGAAGGCAGGUCUCUGGGCAGUUACUGACGCUGAGGAGCGAAAGCAUGGGUAGCGAACAGGAUUAGAUACCCGGGUA